RNAcentral lists this ribosomal RNA (587 nucleotides) under uncultured bacterium. RNAcentral describes it as "bacterial SSU rRNA". It matches the Rfam family "Bacterial small subunit ribosomal RNA", at positions 338 to 916 of the family's 1533-position model. The record is from RNAcentral.
CCUACGGGAGGCAGCAGUGAGGAAUUUUGCGCAAUAGGGGAAACCCUGACGCAGCAACGCCGCGUGAGUGAAGAAGGCCCUCGGGUCGUAAAGCUCUGUCAAGUGGGAAAAAAGCUUACUGGUAAAUAGCCAGCAAGACUGAUGGUACCAUUGAAGGAAGCACCGGCUAACUCCGUGCCAGCAGCCGCGGUAAUACGGAGGGUGCAAGCGUUGUUCGGAAUUACUGGGCGUAAAGGGCGUGUAGGCGGUGUGGUAAGUCAGAUGUGAAAGCCCUGGGCUUAACCCAGGAAGUGCAUUUGAAACUGCCAUGCUUGAGUAUGGGAGAGGAGAGUGGAAUUCCCAGUGUAGAGGUGAAAUUCGUAGAUAUUGGGAGGAACACCCGUGGCGAAGGCGACUCUCUGGACCAAUACUGACGCUGAGGCGCGAAAGCGUGGGGAGCAAACAGGAUUAGAUACCCUGGUAGUCCACGCUGUAAACGAUGAGCACUAGGUGUAGCGGGUAUUGACCCCUGCUGUGCCGUAGCUAACGCAUUAAGUGCUCCGCCUGGGGAGUACGGCCGCAAGGCUAAAACUCAAAGGAAUUGACGG